This 472-nucleotide ribosomal RNA is filed under the name uncultured bacterium. RNAcentral's name for it is "bacterial SSU rRNA". It matches the Rfam family "Bacterial small subunit ribosomal RNA", at positions 355 to 825 of the family's 1533-position model. The record is from RNAcentral.
UGGGGAAUUUUGGACAAUGGGGGCAACCCUGAUCCAGCCAUGCCGCGUGAGUGAAGAAGGCCUUCGGGUUGUAAAGCUCUUUCGGACGGAACGAAAUGGUCAGGGUGAAUAUCCCUGACUGAUGACGGUACUGUAAGAAGAAGCACCGGCUAACUACGUGCCAGCAGCCGCGGUAAUACGUAGGGUGCGAGCGUUAAUCGGAAUUACUGGGCGUAAAGCGUGCGCAGGCGGCUGUAUAAGUCAGUGGUGAAAGGCUGUGGCUUAACCAUGGGAUUGCCAUUGAUACUGUACGGCUUGAAUUAGGAUGAGGUUGGCGGAAUGUGACAUGUAGCGGUGAAAUGCUUAGAUAUGUCGUGGAACAUCGAUUGCGAAGGCAGCUGACUGGACCUUAAUUGACGCUGAGGCACGAAAGCGUGGGGAGCGAACAGGAUUAGAUACCCACGUAGUCCCUGAGCGGGCUGGCAAGGCGCAU